Molecule: transfer RNA, 74 nt
Filed under: Hippea maritima DSM 10411
Lineage: Bacteria; Pseudomonadati; Campylobacterota; Desulfurellia; Desulfurellales; Hippeaceae
Description: tRNA-Gln (TTG) (tRNA-Gln-TTG-1-1)
Rfam family: tRNA
About the family: Transfer RNA (tRNA) molecules are approximately 80 nucleotides in length. Their secondary structure includes four short double-helical elements and three loops (D, anti-codon, and T loops). Further hydrogen bonds mediate the characteristic L-shaped molecular structure. tRNAs have two regions of fundamental functional importance: the anti-codon, which is responsible for specific mRNA codon recognition, and the 3' end, to which the tRNAs corresponding amino acid is attached (by aminoacyl-tRNA synthetases). tRNAs cope with the degeneracy of the genetic code in two manners: having more than one tRNA (with a specific anti-codon) for a particular amino acid; and 'wobble' base-pairing, i.e. permitting non-standard base-pairing at the 3rd anti-codon position.
Source: RNAcentral
UGGGGCGUAGCCAAGUGGUAAGGCAGAGGACUUUGGAUCCUCGAUCGCUGGUUCGAAUCCAGCCGCCCCAGCCA